ACGGAAGGCAGCAGUGGGGAAUAUUGCACAAUGGGGGAAACCCUGAUGCAGCGACGCCGCGUGAGUGAAGAAGUAUUUCGGUAUGUAAAGCUCUAUCAGCAGGAAAGAAAAUGACGGUACCUGACUAAGAAGCCCCGGCUAACUACGUGCCAGCAGCCGCGGUAAUACGUAGGGGGCAAGCGUUAUCCGGAUUUACUGGGUGUAAAGGGAGCGUAGACGGCGAUGCAAGUCUGAAGUGAAAGCCCAAGGCUCAACCAUGGGACUGCUUUGGAAACUGUAUUGCUAGAGUGCAGGAGAGGUAAGUGGAAUUCCUAGUGUAGCGGUGAAAUGCGUAGAUAUUAGGAGGAACACCAGUGGCGAAGGCGGCUUGCUGGACUGUAACUGACGUUGAGGCUCGAAAGCGUGGGGAGCAAACAGGAUUAGAUACCCUGGUA
This 434-nucleotide ribosomal RNA is filed under the name uncultured Lachnospiraceae bacterium. RNAcentral's name for it is "partial 16S ribosomal RNA". It matches the Rfam family "Bacterial small subunit ribosomal RNA", at positions 341 to 792 of the family's 1533-position model. Lineage: Bacteria; Bacillati; Bacillota; Clostridia; Lachnospirales; Lachnospiraceae. The record is from RNAcentral.